GUUUGCUGUGAAUGUUGGAAGUUGGAGCUUUCUACGGUAUUGAAUAGAUAUACUCAGAAGCCUGAGAACUGCAAUUGAGGGUAAAUGUUUACUGCUACCCAGACUUAUUUUCUGCCAUCUCUGAAAUUCCUAACUUGGUUUUAUUUACAUAAAAUCAGAUAUCAUAAAAAUAUUACAAUAGGUAUUUAAAAUAUUGUGCAUUAGAGAGCCAUUAAUAGCCAGAUAAGAACCACAUAGUGACGUAAAAAAGGAGGCUUUCCCGUAAUGUGCUGUUACAAACAUGCAGUCAAAUAGCUUGUGAGGCUACUGAGUCUACUUAUUUCCUUUUGAAACUAUCAUAUAAGGCCACAGCGACUCAAGGCUUAUGCACAGAAUGCUGCCAUGGGCAUACGAUGCUCUGUCCGAGCUUUGUCCUGUGACUCAGUCUCAGAACUUAAUAUGUAUUUGGUAAUGGGCACUAACUCUUGCAAAUGGAUCUGUCCUGUGAAUUAUCCAGUGAUUCUCAACCUGUCGAAAAAGCUUUAUAAAAUAAAUUGUUAGAUAAGUUGGUUGUUUCAGUUUGAUCUGCCAUUGUUUAAAUGCCCUAAGGAACCUAACGUUCUACAGACACCAGGGCUGAAAGUAUUGUCAUGAAUAAGUUUUAAGUGACUCAUAUGUGUCUAUCAUUGGCCAAUUAUAAGAAACUACUUCUUAUGUGCUUGGGCACAGUGAAUCUUAGUUAAAGGACCAUGAGUCUACUGCAAUGAUUAACCGUUCCAAAACAAAUUUCCUGAGGGGCCUGUGAGCCCCAGCGGGAGCGACAUGGCAAUCUCAUUUUAUUGUGAAAUAAUAUCCCAUUAAUUAAGAACUGAAGCAAAAAUCAGUGUACCCAACCAUUUCCAAGCAAAACAUAUUGAAUGAAUCAGUAGCCUAGCUUAUCCAAAAUGCAACACUUGUUUUUAAAAGAUGUUCCUUUUAAAAAGCUGUCAGGAAGUCAAGGCACGAUCUAUGUGAAGAAUGCAGUGGGAGACACAUCAGGAUGUCUGAUUCUCAAGUCGAC
Molecule: long non-coding RNA, 1039 nt
Filed under: Marmota monax (woodchuck)
Lineage: Eukaryota; Metazoa; Chordata; Mammalia; Rodentia; Sciuridae
Source: RNAcentral